Molecule: long non-coding RNA, 233 nt
Filed under: Ictidomys tridecemlineatus (thirteen-lined ground squirrel)
Lineage: Eukaryota; Metazoa; Chordata; Mammalia; Rodentia; Sciuridae
Description: lncRNA (ENSSTOG00000033004.1)
Source: RNAcentral
CAGAAGAGCAAGCCCUGGGCUGCAGGCUCAUUGCUGGCUGGAAAGAGUCUCCUCUCUUUUCCGUCGCGAUUUUCCCAUGUUUCCUUCAGCAUCACCAACUUGGAACUGAAGCAGCAGCGAUAAAAUAGUCACCCAGACAAAUGUGAAGAGGACCAGGGGGCCACCCAGUUCACUCUGCCGGCAGCUGGACACAGAGGCGGUCAGUGGCUGUUCACACUAAGGUAAGGCCAGAG